This 497-nucleotide ribosomal RNA is filed under the name uncultured bacterium. RNAcentral's name for it is "partial 16S ribosomal RNA". It matches the Rfam family "Bacterial small subunit ribosomal RNA", at positions 28 to 507 of the family's 1533-position model. The record is from RNAcentral.
GAUGAACGCUGGCGGCGUGCCUAAUACAUGCAAGUCGAGCGAACAGACGAGGAGAUUGCUCCUCUGACGUUAGCGGCGGACGGGUGAGUAACACGUGGAUAACCUACCUAUAAGACUGGGAUAACUUCGGGAAACCGGAGCUCAUACCGGAUAAUAUAUUGAACCGCAUGGUUCAAUAGUGAAAGACGGUUUUGCUGUCACUUAUAGAUGGAUCCGCGCCGCAUUAGCUAGUUGGUAAGGUAACGGCUUACCAAGGCAACGAUGCGUAGCCGACCUGGGAGGGUGAUCGGCCACACUGGAAGUGAGACACGGUCCAGACUCCUACGGGAGGCAGCAGUAGGGAAUCUUCCGCAAUGGGCGAAAGCCUGACGCAGCAACGCCGCGUGAGUGAUGAAGGUCUUCGGAUCGUAAAACUCUGUUAUUAGGGAAGAACAAAUGUGUAAGUAACUAUGCACGUCUUGACGGUACCUGAUCAGAAAGCAACGGCUAACUACGUG